RNAcentral lists this transfer RNA (63 nucleotides) under Ralstonia insidiosa. RNAcentral describes it as "tRNA-Ser". It matches the Rfam family "tRNA", at positions 16 to 71 of the family's 71-position model. Rfam says of the family: Transfer RNA (tRNA) molecules are approximately 80 nucleotides in length. Their secondary structure includes four short double-helical elements and three loops (D, anti-codon, and T loops). Lineage: Bacteria; Pseudomonadati; Pseudomonadota; Betaproteobacteria; Burkholderiales; Burkholderiaceae. RNAcentral also lists the same sequence under 1 other name. The record is from RNAcentral.
CGCCCCAUGAGCAUCGGCCUUCUAAGCCGACGGUCGGGGGUUCGAAUCCCUCUGGGCAGGCCA